This 363-nucleotide transfer RNA is filed under the name Microcystis sp. BrG01. Its description in RNAcentral is "16S-23S ribosomal RNA intergenic spacer". The stretch from base 135 to 208 matches the Rfam family "tRNA". Lineage: Bacteria; Bacillati; Cyanobacteriota; Cyanophyceae; Chroococcales; Microcystaceae. The record is from RNAcentral.
AAGGGAGACCUAAUUCAGGUAGGAGACGAAAAAAAAGUAGUCCCUACCAAGAAUCAAUCCCAAAAGGUCGGAGCGAGGCGAAAUUGGCUUUCAAACUAGGUUCUGGGUUCACACAAGACCUGAAUCAGGAACAAGGGCUAUUAGCUCAGGUGGUUAGAGCGCACCCCUGAUAAGGGUGAGGUCCCUGGUUCGAGUCCAGGAUGGCCCACCUGCACAGGUGGCAAAAACAAAGAAAAAAGGCUCCGAAUCAGCACCUUAUCUUACUUAUAUAGUAAGAGAGAAUGCUGGCUCUGAGUACAGAGUCCAGAGGAACCUUGAAAACUGCAUAGAGCUAGGUGAAAAAGCCAAAAAAGAAGACCGUUA